CAAAAAUGGCAAAUCUGCCGAAAGGCAGAGACGCAAAGCUAAGGUGUCUAAACGAUUUGUUCGCAUGAUUGACCGGCUGC
RNAcentral lists this non-coding RNA (80 nucleotides) under pig gut metagenome. RNAcentral describes it as "Cyclic di-GMP-I riboswitch". It matches the Rfam family "c-di-GMP-I riboswitch aptamer", at positions 6 to 83 of the family's 87-position model. Rfam says of the family: GEMM was predicted in a large-scale screen for bacterial structured RNA regulatory elements. Genes associated with GEMM are involved in a diverse array of functions, including chemotaxis regulation, signal transduction, secretion and chitin. The record is from RNAcentral.